AUGGCUCUGCACUGCCCCAUGGCCAUGGGCCUCGACAAGGGCCACAAGGUGAUGAAGAACAUCAGCAAGCCAAAACACAGCUCGCCCCACAGGCUCCUCACCAAGCACACCAAGUUCGUGCAGGACAUGAUCCGGGAGGUGUGUGACUUCAUGUCCUAUGAUUGGUGCACCGUGGUAUUGCCCAAAGUGUCCAAUGACAAGUGCGCAUUCAAGUUCAUCAAGAAGAGGGUGGGCAUGCACAUCCACACCAAGAGAAAGUGGGAGGAGCUGAGCAUUGUGAUCGCAGCCAUGAGGAAGGCGGUGCCCAAGAAAGAU
RNAcentral lists this long non-coding RNA (315 nucleotides) under Mus musculus (house mouse). RNAcentral describes it as "long non-coding RNA chr3:100008359-100008674". The record is from RNAcentral. Lineage: Eukaryota; Metazoa; Chordata; Mammalia; Rodentia; Muridae.